CAAUAGCGUAUAUUAAAGUUGUUGCAGUUAAAAAGCUCGUAGUUGGAUUUCUGGUGGGAGCGAUCGGUCUGGCGCUUAGCGCGAGUACUUGCAUCGUCUCCGGCCAUCCUUGGGGAGAGUCUGUCUGGCAUUAGGUUGUCGGGCAGAGGAUCCUCAUCGUUUACUGUGAAAAAAUUAGAGUGUUCAAAGCAGGCUUAUGCCGUUGAAUAUAUUAGAAUGGAAUAAUAAGAUAGGACUUUGGUACUAUUUUGUUGGUUUGCGCACCAAAGUAAUGAUUAAUAGGGACAGUUGGGGGUAUUCGUAUUCCGUUGUCAGAGGUGAAAUUCUUGGAUUUACGGAAGACGAACUACUGCGAAAGCAUUUACCAAGGAUGUUUUCAUUAA
RNAcentral lists this ribosomal RNA (383 nucleotides) under uncultured eukaryote. Its description in RNAcentral is "partial 18S ribosomal RNA". It matches the Rfam family "Eukaryotic small subunit ribosomal RNA", at positions 592 to 976 of the family's 1831-position model. The record is from RNAcentral.